AUUGAACGCUGGCGGCAGGCCUUACACAUGCAAGUCGAACGGUAGCAGGGUAAGAUGUUGAUUGGCGGAGGGGUGAGUAAUGUAUGGGAGCGGGCUACGUCGGAGGGGAUAUCUUCGUGGAGGAGAAGGUAGGACAGCAUACGCCCAGAGGGCGAACGCGGUGGGUGGGAAAGCCUCGGGCCAUUGGAGCGGGCGCGAUUGAAUGAGGCGAUGUCGGAUUAGAUAGUUGGCGGGGUAAAGGCCCACCAAGUCGACGGUCCGUAGCUGGUCUGAGAGGAUGACCAGCCACACUGGAACUGAGACACGGUCCAGACUCCUACGGGAGGCAGCAGUGGGGAAUUUUGGACAAUGGGCGCAAGCCUGAUCCAGCCAUGCCGCGUGCGGGAAGAAGGCCUUCGGGUUGUAAACCGCUUUUGUUAGGGAAGAAAAGGUUCUGGCUAAUACCUGGCACUUAUGACGGUACCUGAAGAAUAAGCACCGGCUAACUACGUG
Molecule: ribosomal RNA, 492 nt
Filed under: uncultured bacterium
Lineage: Bacteria
Description: partial 16S ribosomal RNA
Rfam family: Bacterial small subunit ribosomal RNA
Source: RNAcentral